AAUCCAUAGUGUGGGGGCAUUUCCUUAUCAUCAACUUGAAAUGUUCCCAUGCUUUAUAAAGGGAAUCACCUUCAUAUUACUUGAAAUUAGCAAUUUCUCACCUAGGUU
Non-coding RNA from Gossypium hirsutum (cotton), 108 nucleotides. Lineage: Eukaryota; Viridiplantae; Streptophyta; Magnoliopsida; Malvales; Malvaceae. The record is from Rfam.